GGAUUAGAUACCCUGGUAGUCCACGCCGUAAACGAUGAGAACUAGAUGUUGGCCCCCUUCGGGGGGGUAGUAUCGCAGCUAACGCAUUAAGUUCUCCGCCUGGGGAGUACGGUCGCAAGACUAAAACUCAAAGGAAUUGACGGGGGCCCGCACAAGCGGUGGAGCAUGUGGUUUAAUUCGAUGCAACGCGAAGAACCUUACCUACACUUGACAUCCUCGGAAUCCUCUAGAGAUAGAGGAGUGCCUUCGGGAACCGAGUGACAGGUGCUGCAUGGCUGUCGUCAGCUCGUGUUG
Molecule: ribosomal RNA, 294 nt
Filed under: uncultured bacterium
Lineage: Bacteria
Description: partial 16S ribosomal RNA
Rfam family: Bacterial small subunit ribosomal RNA
Source: RNAcentral